RNAcentral lists this long non-coding RNA (233 nucleotides) under Elaeis guineensis (African oil palm). RNAcentral's name for it is "long non-coding RNA (EGUI_LNC050218)". Lineage: Eukaryota; Viridiplantae; Streptophyta; Magnoliopsida; Arecales; Arecaceae. The record is from RNAcentral.
GCUUAUCUGGCCAAUUUGAUGGAUUAUAUCUUGAUUAGACAACUAAGUGAUUCGAGCUGACCUAUGUUAUUAAGGUUGAUUAGUGUGACUGAUCUAGGUGCCAGUUCAACUAACAUGAUCUUGAUCCAAUUCAAUGACUUGGUGAAGUCAGUGGGAGGAUUGUGAUUUACUGGUUGAUCUCUUCUCUUUUCUUGACUCAUAAAUUAAAUUCUUUAAAUUAUUAGAUCCAUAAA